Molecule: long non-coding RNA, 2399 nt
Organism: Physella acuta
Lineage: Eukaryota; Metazoa; Mollusca; Gastropoda; Physidae
Source: RefSeq, a predicted model, not a curated record
UAGAAAUUCUAGAUCUAUAUCUAAGUAAGUAGAUCUAAUAAUAGUUUAUUAGUAGGCUAAUAUGAUUAUCAAAGUAUUAAGUAAAAAAAAGGUUAAAAUGAUAAUGGAGAGAUUUUACAUCACUGAGACAUGCUGAAAAUGGAAAACCAUACAUUUUGGGGCAGAUUAAUAUCAAAGCUACGACAAAGGACUUCUAGUGCCUUCUACAGUUUUGAGCACAAUACUCAAAGCCAACACUCUAGAUCUAACCAAAGAUUUUUGCAGAGAACAAAAUCAACGCCAGUUUGUGAAACAUCUGGAGAAACUAAUUAUCCAAAAUAUCGAUCCACUAAUGAAAGCUUCAUACCAAAAUGUCUUACAGGGAUAAAUGUUCAGAAUGUACUGUUUGGUCAUGGUUCAAUUGAGAAUUUUUCUCCCAACUGUUGGCUUGAAAAUAAUCUCCAUAGGUUUGGGAGACUAACAGAUGAGCCAGAACAUGACACAGUAAAUGAUUCACUUAACAAUCCACUGUCACCAGACUCAUUCAUAUCAUCAGUUCGAGCCAUUGUGAUGAGCAAUCAAAUAAACACUUUAAACCAAGCACUAUCUAGCAGCAGUGAGAGCAUUAUUUCUUCACUGGCUUCCAGCACAAUAUCAGAUGUGACCAACUUUUACCACAAUUUAAAUCUAUCAGGUUAUGCCUUUGAUCCUGAAGCGAUACCUCAAGACCCUCCUCCCUAUUCUGAACUCUCUGAUGAUCCUCCACCACCUUAUACAGAUUCUUCUUUCACUGUGAUAAAUGAUAGAAGCCAAUCAAAUCAGUUACAUAGCGCAAGUUUUCAGGUUUUUGCCGAUGAUGCAUGCUUGUAUUGACCGUUUUAUGUCUCCUCACACUUUUUAAAACUCAAAUAUUAAUAUUAAGUAAAAUAUUAAAAUUCUGUGAUAAGGAGUAAAAAAUUGAAGUAAAGUAAUCAAAUGUUCUUUCAGUUAUACAACUUUAUGCUUGCAUAUUUUUGAUAGCUUAAUGUGUUUGGGAUCUGAUUAUAUUCAAAGCAUAAUCAUAUUAUAAAUGAAUCUUUUUGUGACUAUUAAAUUCAAAUUAUUAAAAUUGGUAAUGAAGGGUUUACUUAUCAAUUAUCAUACAUAUCUUAACAGUACUAGUAAUACCUCCUAUUAAUAAAUUAAUUCCUUUCUGACAUUUCAAAGGCCUACAUGCAGAGAAAUUUCAGUGAAAGCAUUAAAAAAGAAUUUUCCCUAUAUAUUUUUAAAUCUUAAAUUGUAUACCUCUAUAUACUGGUAACCAUGCAGAUUUGCCUCAUUCUAAUCUUGCAAUACUUAAAAUGUAUCAAAUUACUGUCUAUAAUUUAAUAGCUUUCAAUUUCCAAUAUUUGCUAGCAUAUGCUGUUGAAAAAUGUUGUAUUUCCUGUUAAUGUUUCUUUUUUUUUUUUGUAAUAUUUCCUUAAGACAAAGUCUUCCAAUAUGUAUUUGAUUGUAAAUUGUUAAAUAACUGUUUAUGACUUUAAUAUUUCAUAAGCACACUAAAAAUUUUAUAUUUUGUGAUAAAAGAAUAAAGACUGGAUUUAUUUCAAUAGUUUAAUUGAUAAAAUUAAACAGUAUAUAACAGUUACACCAACCAUGAAUUUCAUAAAUUAACACAAACAUGGAUAAAAACAUUGCAUAUAAGAUAUGCUUUAAAUGCUUGCACCUUAGACCAACUUCCACUCACACAAUUUUUUUUUACUCCUCUCUGUCAUCAGUUCUUUUUUUCUCCACAAUAUUUACAUUUUAAGAUUUUUUUCCUUCAAAUUUUUUUUUAAAUUGCAUUAUUUUUUCCACUUUGAUUCCACUUUUUUUCUUCCAAUCUUCUCAUUUUUUUUUUAAAUUUUUUUUUUUACAGUGAACAUUAAUCCCACCACCCCCAUCUCUUUAAUAUGCACUAAAGUUAUGUAGGGUGCAAAGUUAUCAAUAGAAUCAAACAAAAAUAAAUAUCUAGCAUGGCACCUGAAGUGCUGAUGCAAGCCUGAAAAAGAGAAAUACUCGUUAGUGUUUAAAAGAUAUGCCUGCAAAUAACUGGAGAGCGAUGUCCAAGAAUGCUUAAAGAAACAAUGCAAUGAGCAAGAAAGCUUCAAGAAAAGAAAUGGACGGUAUGGAAGACUAUUUUACGUUUGCAUGGAUUAACCCAGAGACUAUCGCAACUAAUCCCAUAAUUUGUGCCACGUGGAAUCAAACUGUAAAGAUGCUGUGGUAAAGCCUACAGCUAAACUUAAAUGCUGAAAACGCAAUUUGACUGGAUACUUCAUUAAAAUAUCUUAAGAUCUUAAAUUCAAUCUGAAUUUUUAAAAUAGUUUAGCAAUAUUUUUCUAGGUUUAUUUCUUUUUUUUUUUGCAGUGAAUGUUUCAAUAAGGACUGUAAUAAGCUGC